This 467-nucleotide ribosomal RNA is filed under the name uncultured bacterium. RNAcentral describes it as "partial 16S ribosomal RNA". It matches the Rfam family "Bacterial small subunit ribosomal RNA", at positions 28 to 506 of the family's 1533-position model. The record is from RNAcentral.
GACGAACGCUGGCGGCGUGCUUAACACAUGCAAGUCGAACGGAAAGGCCCUGCUUUUGUGGGGUGCUCGAGUGGCGAACGGGUGAGUAACACGUGAGUAACCUGCCCUUGACUUUGGGAUAACUUCAGGAAACUGGGGCUAAUACCGGAUAGGAGCUCCUGCUGCAUGGUGGGGGUUGGAAAGUUUCGGCGGUUGGGGAUGGACUCGCGGCUUAUCAGCUUGUUGGUGGGGUAGUGGCUUACCAAGGCUUUGACGGGUAGCCGGCCUGGGAGGGUGACCGGCCACAUGGGGACUGAGAUACGGCCCAGACUCCUACGGGAGGCAACAGUGGGGAAUAUUGCACAAUGGGCGGAAGCCUGAUGCAGCAACGCCGCGUGCGGGAUGACGGCCUUCGGGUUGUAAACCGCUUUCGCCUGUGACGAAGCGUGAGUGACGGUAAUGGGUAAAGAAGCACCGGCUAACUACGU